This 301-nucleotide ribosomal RNA is filed under the name uncultured bacterium. Its description in RNAcentral is "partial 16S ribosomal RNA". It matches the Rfam family "Bacterial small subunit ribosomal RNA", at positions 509 to 807 of the family's 1533-position model. The record is from RNAcentral.
CAGUAGCCGCGGUAAUACGGAGGGUGCAAGCGUUAAUCGGAAUUACUGGGCGUAAAGCGCACGCAGGCGGUUUGUUAAGUCAGAUGUGAAAUCCCCGAGCCUAACUUGGGAACUGCAUUUGAAACUGGCAAGCUAGAGUCUUGUAGAGGGGGGUAGAAUUCCAGGUGUAGCGGUGAAAUACGUAGAGAUCUGGAGGAAUACCGGUGGCGAAGGCGGCCCCCUGGACAAAGACUGACGCUCAGGUGCGAAAGCGUGGGGAGCAAACAGGAUUAGAUACCCCAGUAGUCCCUGUCUCUUAUAC